RNAcentral lists this ribosomal RNA (1260 nucleotides) under Aneurinibacillus aneurinilyticus. RNAcentral describes it as "bacterial SSU rRNA". It matches the Rfam family "Bacterial small subunit ribosomal RNA", at positions 49 to 1362 of the family's 1533-position model. The record is from RNAcentral. Lineage: Bacteria; Bacillati; Bacillota; Bacilli; Caryophanales; Paenibacillaceae.
UUAGAAGUGCGAGUCGGACCACAAGUAAGAGCUUGCUCUUCGGCGGUUAGCGGCGGACGGGUGAGUAACACGUAGGCAACCUGCCUGUACGACUGGGAUAACUCCGGGAAACCGGAGCUAAUACCGGAUACGUUUUUCAAAAAGAAGUCUAAAAAAAAAACUUUGGGACUACAAAGGGGCCUGGGGCAUUAAAUAGUUGGGGGGGAAGGCCCCAAGGCGACGAGGGUAGCGCCUGAGGGGGAUCGGCCAAUGGGAAGGAAAAGGCCCAGACUCCUACGGGAGGAACAGUAGGAAUCUUCCGCAAGGGAGAAAGUCUGAGGAGCAAAGCCCGGGAAAGAUGAAGUUUUCGGAUCGUAAAGUUCUGUGUUAGGGAAGAAACGCCGGGAUGACCUCCCGGUUGACGGUACCUAAAGAGAAAGCCCCGGCUAACUACGUGACAGCAGCCGCGGUAAUAAGUAGGGGGCAAGCGUUGUCCGGAAUUAUUGGGCGUAAAGCGCGCGCAGGCGGCUUAUUAAGUCAGGUGUGAAAGCCCACGGCUCAACCGUGGAGGGCCACUUGAAACUGGGAGGCUUGAGUGCAGGAGAGGAGAGCGGAAUUCCACGUGUAGCGGUGAAAUGCGUAGAGAUGUGGAGGAACACCCGUGGCGAAGGCGGCUCUCUGGCCUGUAACUGACGCUGAGGCGCGAAAGCGUGGGGAGCGAACAGGAUUAGAUACCCUGGUAGUCCACGCCGUAAACGUUGAGUGCUAGGUGUUGGGGACUCCAAUCCUCAGUGCCGCAGCUAACGCAAUAAGCACUCCGCCUGGGGAGUACGGCCGCAAGGCUGAAACUCAAAGGAAUUGACGGGGACCCGCACAAGCGGUGGAGCAUGUGGUUUAAUUCGAAGCAACGCGAAGAACCUUACCAGGGCUUGACAUCCCGCUGACCCUCCUAGAGAUAGGAACUCUCUUCGGAGCAGCGGUGACAGGUGGUGCAUGGUUGUCGUCACCUCCUGUCGUGAGAAGUUGGGUUAAGUCCGCAACGAGGAAACCUUGUCCUUAGUUGCAGCAUUAGUUGGGCACCUAGGGAAACGCCGUCCACAAACGAAGAAGGGGGGGAUGACGUCAAUCACCUCCCCCUUAUGUCUGGGCUACACACGUGCCAAUGGAGGGAAAACGGCCACCCAACCGCAAAUGGCCAAUCCCUUAAAACCAUUCUCAGUUCAAUUGCAGGCGGCACGCGCCGCAGAAGCCGAACCCAGUAAUCCGAAAAAAAGGCCGCGG